GGAAUCCCUCGCCCCCCUUCCCUCUGGUUAAGCCAACCCGGAAGCGGAAGUUCCCCCCGCAGGGGUUUCUGGGACGCCGGGGAGCAGGGCGGCUGUUCUGUUUUCUUUUGGGUCAGACGUAGCCGCCAGCGGCGGUAGCGGCUGCGGUUUGGAGGCCAGAGACCGACGUGGCGGGUGAGUCAGUCCCGGGGGCGGGGGCCGCAGCUCGUGACCCUCCCGCUCGUAUGGGGGCGGGGAACGCAGGGGAUAAAUGUGACCUUUGACCCCGUAAAUAUUCGCAACCCUUCUCUCCCCUCCCCUCCCCAGCUCCUUCUGUGGAUCCCGCCGCCCGCUUGGUCGGGGCUCGGGGGGGCAGAGUCAGGCGAGAGCCCCCUGCUCGGUGCCCGGCGCUGCGCGGGCGGGGGCUCCCCAGGGGCUGGCAAGGGAGUAGCAGUUGCUGGCCGAGGCUGCGCCCGUCGCCGGCCUGCGUAGCCGUAGGGGCGGGGGAUGGGGGGGGGCGAGGUGUUUUGUUUUUUGCUCCGCCGGCGGACACCCCCGUGUCCCGAUAUUUUCUUCCUCUCAUCUGGUCACCCUAGUGUCGCAUCACGCGGCUGUUGCGUGUCCUGUGGAAGGAAACACUUUGGGGCUAUUUCACCUUUGUGCAGAAUUCAGGGGUGGGGAGGAAGAGAAUCACACAAUAAUUAUCUACUGACCAUAGUAGCUGUUGAUUCAAAAAGUUAAAGCUUCUAUCAUGGUUAAAAGACAUUUUCAAUAUCAUAUGUCAAAAUAUACAAAGUAAUUAGUUGUGAAACAAACUCUAAUAAGGAGCCUGCCUUAGCCCCACUGCGCCGCCGACCGGACUUUUAACGGCUCAGUCAGUGAUGCCAGCUGUAAGGGGCCCCGAUGUAAUAUUACUGCUCCAAAUCCCCUUCAUUUUAUUUAGCCUGGCCUGUGUCACAUGUGUGCUAGUCCCACUGGGGACCCAACACCUAAUAGGUUUUCAGUUAGCAUUUUUCUUCUUUUUCCUGUCUGAAAAUUUGUUUUAUCAUCGAUGGAAAUAUUUUUUUUCAUAAGUAUGUGUGUGCAAGGUGAAAUAGGUGUUUGACAUUUACUGACAAAAAGCAACUUUUUCCAAGUCUGUUUAUAUGUUAUGAAUUAUAAUGGUUGUGUUUGUAAAUCAAUGGCAGAUCUGUGGAUGGUUAUAUGUAUGAGCUCUAGCUUUAAAAUUAUCUUAUGUUGUGGCUAAAACUCACAAAUGUGAUUUUAGGAAGUAUGUUCUGUUGCCUAUUAAUUCUACCAGCCCUUUCACCUCCCCCAUUUACGGCCCUAGUAAUCAAAUGGGGAUUUGCAGUUGAUGUUUACCAUCAUGUAGAGGGGAUCUCACUAUAUUGAUGAUACACCUUGUGUAGUUUGUUCAGGUCUGAGCAAGAGUUAUAAGACUAAUUCUUUCCUCUAAAUUGACAUCUGUUUUAUUUCCCUUCCAGAAUAAAGUCGUCCAGUUGAAGCUGCUGCA
Molecule: long non-coding RNA, 1492 nt
Filed under: Chrysemys picta bellii (western painted turtle)
Lineage: Eukaryota; Metazoa; Chordata; Testudines; Emydidae
Description: lncRNA (ENSCPBG00000007411.1)
Source: RNAcentral